Scatophagus argus is the source of this 1359-nucleotide RNA transcript. It is a transcript of the gene named zinc finger, SWIM-type containing 7, with no coding region annotated. The record is from RefSeq and is a predicted model, not a curated record. NCBI's taxonomy places the organism in Eukaryota, Metazoa, Chordata, Actinopteri, Scatophagidae. The transcript has 7 exons.
CGGAAGUUGUAAUAUUUCGCUCGUAUCUCAUUGGUCAGCGAAGUUGGCGACCUGCUGAAAAUAAAAUUUCCGCGAAAUGCGGUCAUUUUUACCUGCAGUGGCUGAGCAGCUUUUCCAAGAUAUUCAAAAAGCGUACCAGGAAGCGUCUCAAAUUCCAGAUGACCUGCUUAUAGCGCUGAGGUUUGUCUUCGGGCCUUGUGCGCUGCAGGCAUUGGACCUGGUUGACCAGCGUUCAGUCACCUGUCUGUCAUCUCCCAGUGGACGCAAAGCAUUCCAGGUAAUGGGAAGCUCUGGGUGUUUGUACACUUGCUUUGUGUCCUGUCACUACUGCCCGUGCCCGGCAUUCGCCUACAGCGUCCUCCGCCGAAACGAGGGCCUGCUGUGCAAACACAUUCUGGCUGUCUACCUGUGUCAGGCCAUGGGUGUGACUCAGCAGGAGAGUGUGUCUGAUCAGCAGAUGUCCACGCUGCUGAGCGGGACAGCAGCCCUGUGACUCCCAGCUCCUGCCCCAGUCUUUUAGAGGCUCGACUGGAACACGCAUCACAAUGCUGAUGAUCCCACCCAUGCAGAAGAGAAGCAAAGCAUCAGCUCGUGGAGGACUGACUGCACUAAUGGGGCAGAUGAGGAUCCCAGCUGAGACUGCGUCUGAGGUUGUCAGCUAAACUCCUAAGGCAAAGGACAUUCAUAUGCAUCCAACUGAACCAAAGCAACAGGGCUUUGUAUUAUGUAAGCCACUAAAUACAUGUGUACCAGAAGCUUGGAUGAUAAAGAAUCAUGUAAAUUGCAUUGAUUUGAAGUCAAAUUGGCUUGUCUACUUUAAGUAUGUUGUCACUUUGUUGAUUAAAAAAAGCAGCUGAAAAUGCUCUAUGCAGAUGUCAUACUUUUGUAAAGGGUACAAUCAGUUUCCCACUUCCUGAGCUUUUGUUUUGUUAACAUGGAAAUGAUAUGCAGCAGCACCGCAGGUGUGUUUUCCUAAACUACUAAUGUCUGGGUCUGUGUGACUAAAUCGGAUCAUGCUGUUUAUCCACUAGCUCCAAAAACCCUUCCACUGGCUCUUAGCCAUAGGGGUCACAAGAUAAUUUUGUGACCCCUGAGGAUAUGAGAGAUGAUUCAUGGGACAGGAAAAGCAUUUAUAUUCUUGUUUAUGUUUGUAGUUCCCCCCUUUUCUUCUAAUUUGUGAUUUGUAUGAGAGCCCACAUGGACUAGUGUGUCCCUCUGCCUGUGCACACAUUAACUUUGGAGGAUUCAUUAGUGCAGCGACAGAACACCUGCAAACGCUGGCAUUUAGAUGAAGCAGCAGCUCGAGAACGUCGGCUGUUAGGCUGCACAAAAGGUAUUAAUAAAGAAAACCUGAACUUC